GGUCUAUCUAUUAGGCCAUGGUAUAAAGGUGCCUAGUAGGUCGGACUGUCUUCCUCUCUGUCUCUCGCUCGGUUUGUCCCUGGGUUUCACGCAGGAGCCAAUCGCCAGCUAUGCGUCUCCCUUACUCUGCCGUGGCUGUAUGGAACCUGACCUGUCUAGCAUUAGAUAACUCUCCCCUGCAGGCCUGUGGGUUAUCUUCGGCGGGGGGUAGCUGGUACCUGGUGGCGGGCUUGUGAACUUCACUUUGGAGUGUACUAUGGAAUAUCGGUGGUGGCUUGCUGUGACAAUGGUGUAACACUUUUCUGCUGUGAGAGUGCAUGUGUGGACACCUUCCUUGAUAGUCUGCUUCCCCCCAUCCAGGUAAGCCCCGCCUGCCAGUAUAAUUUUCUGUUUUAUUUUGGUGUGUGCAACAUUCCCAGCUGAUGUGUUAG
Molecule: long non-coding RNA, 431 nt
Organism: Alosa alosa (allis shad)
Lineage: Eukaryota; Metazoa; Chordata; Actinopteri; Clupeiformes; Clupeidae
Exons: 3
Source: RefSeq, a predicted model, not a curated record